This is a long non-coding RNA of Drosophila albomicans, 1135 nucleotides long. RefSeq lists it as uncharacterized. The record is from RefSeq and is a predicted model, not a curated record. The transcript is spliced from 3 exons. Lineage: Eukaryota; Metazoa; Arthropoda; Insecta; Diptera; Drosophilidae.
CCUGCAAUGAGCCAAAUCAAUUCUAUUCAAAAUUAAAUAUUACUUAUACUCCAAGUACUUAUGAACUAAUAUUAGUAACUGAUUCCGGCGACAUAUUGUUAAACAUCUAAUUUGAACCCGACUGUACAAACACGCAUACAAUGCAGUAUUGUAUUUAAGUGUCGCCGCCUUUGUUGGUGUUCUAUUGAUAACCCUCAGCCCUCGUUUGAAAAAUUAUUAAUCAGAGGUCGCCUGUCGUUUGGGAAGAAUGUUGUAAAACAGAAAAUAAAUAAGAAAGUCACAUUUGGGUGGGCUAGACUUAUUGUUUUCAUAUAUAUUGCUCAGUUUAUCCAAUUUCAAACAUUUUAAACACUAUUCUUAUUUAAUUUAAACAGGAACUGGAACAUAUGUUGAAAUUUAACAUAUUUGGUUACAGCAACUUUGGAAUGGCUUUUUAAAUUGGGGAACCGGUUGAUACAGUCGCUAUCAGCUUAGCACUCAAUUAACUUGAGACGAAAGCGCCACACAAGGACUGACUCCAGCGCAGAUCAACAAUUGUUGUCAAUUGAAAAUAGGAAACCUUUUAAUUAACUGAAGUACUGGAGCAGCUAUUGUAUCCCCGUUAUUGAUUUAGGUCUUUUUCGAGAGCCGUGUGAGCAAGAGUGCGGAUUUUCACGUAAUUUCCGGAGUGCACGACCAAUUACAAUUACAACACCAAUCAAAAUACAACAAAGCAAAUCAAGUGCCACACUAAAUUUCUAUGGAAAAUUAAGUUUGCGUAAGUUGGUAGCUGAAUGAGGGAUGAAAAUGCUUGAAAAAGCUGCCUACGGGUUAGCUUGAAAUACUAUAGAUGUAGCGAGAAAGUAACCACUGAAAGUCAACUACACCCAAAUAGUUGCUAAAGUCUUCGCAGCAAAUAUUUAAUACAAUACUCGACAAUCUCUGUAGUAAGCUUAUAGCUGAAAGUGCAACAUAUUUUCGUAAUGUCGUUUCAUAUUCGUUUUGUUUUAUGCGCAGCCAUGAAGACGAAGAACAAUUAGGAUUCGUCACAGCAGCCGCCACUUUAGUUAUUACUCGCGUAAUUCUGGCAUACGCGUAAUUGCGUAUUCAGCCCAUUUUUCGAAUGCGAAUGGUAAUGCCAGAUUACAGUGCUGCU